CCCAGCAAGAAUUUCCGCCUCCUCUUUUUUUCUCUUUUUUUUUUCGUUUCCAGCAAGAGGUUCCGCUCCUCUUUUUUUUUCUUUUUUUUUUGUUUCCAGCAAGAGGUUUCGCUCCCCUUUUUUUCUCUUUUUUUUUCGUUUCCAGCAAGAGGUUCCGCUCCCCUUUUUUUUCUUUUUUUUUUGUUUCCAGCAAGAGGUUCCGCUCCCCCCUCAUUUUUUUUUUCGGUUUCUUCUCUUCCUUCAAGCUCUGGUCUUUUGAGAACUCCCCCACUUCAAAAAUUCGAACCAGAUUAAAACUCCCCAAACCCUUUAAAUAUUUCAUCGAUUUCUUCCUUUCCUCUUCUGACUUGGAUCCGAGCAAAAAGGGGGAAAAAUUCGAGCUUAGGGUUUCGGUGAUUUGAGGCUUUCUUCUUCUUCAAACUCCAAGAACUUGGGUUUUUGAUGUCUCCACGUCGUCCUCGACUUCCUAGGGGUCGCUCCCGUUCACAGCCUAGCGAGGAAGAAGUUCCUACAGCGUCCUCCCCUCCAGCGGCUUCCUUUUUCGGGGUCGAGUUCCCCGCGGGUAGCCUUCCUCCUUAUGCUAAUACUGGUUGUAGCCGGGAGGUCUUCUCUUCAGCUUCCAUCAGGCAGGCCGUUAGGCAGAACUUGAGAAGAAUUAUAUAGAUAGGCUUUCUAGUUUAGAGUCUCAUGUUCUUAGCCGUCAGCUGCCUUCGGGCUAACGAGCUCUUUAUUGUAUGCUUUGACUUGAUCUAUUAAUAGAGACUCUGCAUUUGAUUCC
Asparagus officinalis (garden asparagus) is the source of this 778-nucleotide long non-coding RNA. RefSeq lists it as uncharacterized. The transcript has 3 exons. The record is from RefSeq and is a predicted model, not a curated record. Lineage: Eukaryota; Viridiplantae; Streptophyta; Magnoliopsida; Asparagales; Asparagaceae.